Molecule: non-coding RNA, 8565 nt
Organism: Leptonychotes weddellii (Weddell seal)
Lineage: Eukaryota; Metazoa; Chordata; Mammalia; Carnivora; Phocidae
Source: RefSeq, a predicted model, not a curated record
GGACCUUCCGAGUUAUUGGAUAUGGCAGACAGCGAAACGGGUGAGACCGCCCUGCACAAGGCUGCCUGCCAGCGGAACCGGGCCGUGUGCCAGCUUCUGGUGGAUGCGGGAGCAUCUCUGAGAAAGACGGACUCCAAGGGGAAGACACCUCAAGACAGAGCACAGCAGGCUGGAGACCCAGAUUUGGCUGCAUACCUAGAAAGCCGCCAGAACUAUAAGAUCAUUGGCCAUGAGGACCUGGAAACUGCUGUUUGACCCUGGUAGAUUGCAAAGAGAACCUAAGCAAGCGCAUCACCUGUGCCCUCCCGGCAAUCGGGCAGCUCCCCUGGAAGAAGCUGAUGGAAUCCACAAAUCUGUCUCUCUCUGCAAGAAUCUAUCUGAGACCAUGCCACCAGUUAUUAAGGGCUACCAGGAUGUCCAACAGAACACGAUAGCCCUCUGAGGAAGAGGCAGGGUACCUGGAGAUUUGUGGAAUACACAUUCCACAUAAUUUGAUCCUUAUUGCUUCCAGCAAGUAGCAUGAACUUCUGUGUUCACCUGUAUAAUUUAUUUUCGAGAUUCAAAGGAUGUUCGUACAAAUGGCACUGCUCCCUCCUCCCCCUAUGCAUUCACGACUCCUCUGUACCCCACAAUUCUACUGCAACUACCCAUCAUUCAAAAAAAAAAAAAAGUAAAUACGAUCUGCUCUCUCUACAUUCAGUCUUUGAAGACCACAAGGCACUCUGGAGGUCUCUGAAAACCCUCUGGAUGUCCCGCGGAAACACAACUGUAAAGCUGCUUCUGUUUCCAAGAUGAAAUAUGCAGAGACUAUUAGUGACCGUCUGCAUGUCUCCCCUGCCCUCCUCCCUCAUCCCUUGUCAUUCUGUAGGAGCUGGGACGUGCCACGUGGAUAAUGUCAACUUGUGUGCUGUACCUCUGCGGUAUGGUGAGGUGGCAUGGGAGGGGACCCAGGGCCCGGCCCUGGGGGCGGGGCUGUUGCUGAUAGCCAUGAAGGACUGGUUCAGCUGGGGCUGUUUGCACAGCCCCGUACUGCCUACGUGUAGCCAUCUUUGCCUUUUGCUGCGAUGUAGACGAUAAGAGGCCAGCACAGGAUUGAACGAAGGCCCACGGCUGGUUUGGCGGAACCGCUGGAUUUUAAGUGCGGUUGAAGGUGCUGAGCAGAAAACCACGUGUGGGGACUGUGGUUCCAGGAAAUGGAGCACUGUGACUGCGUUCCCUUCCAGACUUUCUCUAGUGAUAAUAGAAAGCAGACUAACUGACUUGAAAUAAAACAGCCAAGGCAAAAGCAGCAACAUAUGUCAAAAUAACUCACUUAAGCAAGAAAACAGUUGUGGGCAUGUUGCACAGAGGCUAAUAAGUAGAGACUCUUGGGUGUAGUGGUGAGAGGGGGCCCAUUUUAGGUUUCCCUUCUAAGUGUUUGGUUUUCACUACCCCGAGUAAGCCUUGUCCCAAGGACAAAGCCUUGUUUUAUGAGUUCCACUGCUGGAUUUCCAGGACGGCUGGAUCUUCCCGAUGGACGUCUCACCUUUUACUUGUCAGGUCCCAAGAUUAUACCUGAUAGCACUGUAACCCCACUUCUUACAUACGGGGUUGUCUAAUCUAUUCUUUUCUUCGUUUCCCCCUACCAGGAAAUUCUUAGUACAAAACCACUGUGGGAGCUGAGCCAGAAAUGUGUCUCUGGCGUUGGAAUUAUGACUUCGAAUCCGGCCACGGAUCAGUUGGUACUUACAGGUCCCUCCAGUAGGGACUCUGUGAUAACUAAAAGAGCAGGAGGAAAAGGCUCCUAACUUUCAGUGAAGAGGCCUACUUGACGUGGGUAGGAGUCAGAAACACAAGUGGGUGAUCCAAAGUUGUUUCAGACUAAAGCUGAGGUCUUCUGAGCUUUCUUCCAUUUUGCUCUUAGACACAAGCAAAGUGCUUCCCUGGUGUCUCUGCAUGUGAACACAUAAAUGAUCGUAUUUCUGCAUUUACUUUAAAGGUCCAGUGGUGACGCACUGCUUACCUGAAUUGCAUUUUGGUCACCUAUCAUUUUGAGAGGACAGAUAUGAGUACUGUAUUAAGGAGGAAUAGCUUCUCUGUGGGUGGGGAUGAAGCAUCUCUUUAGCCUUUUCAAAAUCAAACUAUUGGUGUUAUUUCCAGUGGGGGGAGAAUAGGUUGGUUAUGAGUAAUCUAUUUCCAUCUAUCAGUCUUAGAAAUGGAAUUACCUGUUGGGUUUUAUGGGGAGGUAAGGAGGAGGGUAGUAUAUUGUUUCCAGAAACUGGAAAAAAUAGGCUCCAGGAGAAUUUAAUCACUGGGCUUCAUCUGGGAGUUUUUCAGUUGGUGGGACUGUCAAAGAGAUGUUGUGAUGACAGAAAUAUAAUCCUUAAAACAGACUGGAAUCUGGCUUUGAAUGGUGCCUUCCAUCCCCUAGAUUAAGCCAAACAGUUGGCCACACAGUCAGUUACCCAGCUGCCAUUUCUGGGAUAAAGGACUAUUUUCACCAACUACCAUCUCAUAUUUCUUUGUGAUGCUUCAAAGCAGCCCAGAGAAAACUUAGGGUAUAGAUGGCUACAGGCCAAUUUAAAUAGGUCCAACUGAAGUCACAAGUAAAUUCCUGGUAUGAAAAUAGAUAAGGUAAUGACUACUAUAGGGGUUCUGGUACAUUUGGAAAUCAUUCCAAGCCAAAAAAAGUCCUACAUUAUGGAUGGGAAACUAUGUACAACAAGCAAAUAUCUCUUUGAAAAAGCAAACACCCUCAGGACUUGGGUUUUCCGAGGAAAGGACAUCAAAAAUGAACGGAACAGUUACAUAUUUAAUGGAUUCAAUAUUAAACCUACCUCCUGUAGCAUUUUUUAAAAUUGAUCACUGCAUGGGACAGUCCUGGCCUUCAGAAAGAGCUGAGGCCGUAUGCUCCAAGAGUUUCCAGCUCAGCUCAAGUAUAGAGUCUCCCCUUUAAUGGGCCAUCAGAAAGGGUAGAAGCCAAUGGUCUGGCCCUGGUCUGGAUCUGUAAACCCACAAACGUUUAAUUUAAAAGACAUGACACUGUAUACUCACAGAAAUACCAUUUUCUACAAAACCUCCCGGGACAGUACUGGAGCAUGGCUGGCUUAGCUGCCAAUCCUCUGUGUUUGGCUCAGAAGAGCCCCUCAUGGGCAUUCCAUUUGUGGGUUUGGUUGACAGGGAGGGGUAUGAGAAAUGGAGAGUUAUUACAAGACCACAUGAGAGAACCUUAAAGGUAGUCAUUUUCGGAGCCCUAUAUUCCAGGAGUACACAUUUAAUGAAAUAGAACCCAGUUUAGAACCCAGCUUCACCUAGUUAAGCUGUGCUUUAUCACAUUCAAGGACUGAUUAAAAACAACAACAACAACAACAAAAAAAAAACAGAAGCCAAGAAGGAAAUAAAUACCAUGGCCGCAAAUCUCACUUUGAGAGUUCUGGUUACCUCUAUGGAGGCUAUAACCUAAAACCCAUGCAAUUUCUGAAGAAGAGAAUUUAGCUGGCAAGUGCACAGCCAUGACAUUAGUGACAGCCCCCCCUAGCCCAUUGUAGUAGCUGGCCUUAGCAAUUAGGCCGAUGUGUUUACAUUGGGAGAUACUCAACAGGCAGUUUGCAUUUGGACCUUGUAACCAUUUCUUUGCCUAAAGGAUUUCUGAAAUGUAUUUCCUAGACUUCUCGUAAUAUCCAUGUUUUAUAAUAUGUGGGGCAGCAGUUUUAUUUUUUUACAUGUCAAUUUUAUUUCACAUGUUUAGUUUUUUUUUUUAUCAUAAAGAUAGGACAUGCUUUUUAUUAAAAAAAAAAAAAGUUCUAAUAGCACAGAUGAGAAUCACAGGCAAGGCCAAGAUGUUCCUCUGUGCUCAUGUAGUGGCCUGAGUCCCACACCCCAGAGAUAAACAGUGUUAACACUGAUCAGCAUUGUUGCUUGUAUGUUAUGUCAGAAAGACUCUGUGCACACAGCCCCCCCACACACACACAUAUAGAAAUGUAUUUAUUUGUAUACAUAAUAUACAAAUAUAUAAUAUAUAUAUAUACUAUACAUACAUUAUUGCAUAGGUUUCCAGUAGACAAAACAUUUUAGAAGCAUGCUAAUCAUCUCUCUAUGUAUAGUUAACACCAACAGGCAAAGACAAGCUAACAGGAAUUCUUCAUUUAUUCUUUGUUGUUUUUACUGCUGCUAAGCUCAGUUCUCUUAUUGCAGCCACUCCAAUUACACAUGGCUUUUGCUAUUGCCUGUGUCAUAAAAUCCAUGACCAAGAGGUCUUAUAAUUUUUUAUGUUACCUUCCAUGAAGCAUGAGACCUACCUGAGCCCAGAGACUUGUCUGUGCUGUUUUUGGAUCACAGAUGGAAAAUUUCUUUCUCUGUCAUGCUCAUUCCACUUUACAAGGCUGAGUUUGCAGGGCUAACACUCCAUACAUUGCCUAAUGAUAUUUAAUGAGGGCAAGCUGCUGCCAGGAAGGUGUAGGAACUUGGGUAUGGGCUGGGGUCUGAGGAGCUUGGCUUCCUUCCAGUAGGAGUAGCUCAUGAAAAUCACUGAAAACAGCACCAUCUUUUAUUCAGUUAUGCUGUUUAAAAAUAAGAUGGAUCAUUGUUGAAAUGAUGCAUCAUAGCCAUCAAAUAAAACUAAUUGCUCUACUUAAAUGGAUUAUUUUCAGUUCAGGUAAGAAAAAAAUAGAACAUCUAUUAAAUGAGAGGCUUUUCUAACUGAUUUUUAACAUUUAUUUGUAUAAAAUCAUUUCUGCCCAGGUCUCAUUAGAACCUUCUCUGAAUCUGUCUACUUUCUCAUUCUCUGAAUUCCAUAUUCAGCUGAUUACUGUAGUUUUUUUCUCUGUCUGGUCUCUCAGAUGGACUUUGGCCCCGUCCCUUUCUGUGUCCUGGUCUUGACUCAUCUCUAGUCCCUCCAGUUUCUGACCAUGACAAGAGUCCUCCUGGACUUUUGGCCACCACCUUCAGUCAUUUUGUCAUACAGACACCCAAAUCUUCUGCAGGUAUUCUGCUCAGAACAGAUCAGAAUGAAAUUACCCUCUGGGACAAGUAUCCAUUUUGCCUGAAGGACAAAUAGAUGUCCACUGACUUUGAUCAUCUUACAGAGCUACAACAUGCCUUAUUCUGAGAAGCCAUCUGCCAUAGAGGUUUAGCACACGUCUGUCUCAGUUCCACCGUGGGUGUCCACAAUCAUGGCAGCUUCUUCCACAUCCGGUGACGUAAACCAUGUACUCCCCUAAGUCACCUAGAUGAACUGGAUUAGAUACGUGUUAUACCCCUAGUGGCCAUCCGUGGGUUUUGGGCUGUCUCCCCACAGUUUACUGAGAAGCCUAAAAAUAGGAACUAAGCAAGGAGGAGUGCCCUCGGAAAACCUGCUCUCCCAGGACACAUAGCACGGACCUGGUCCCAAAAAGAAAGCAGAAAAAAAUAAUUCUUAGGCUGUUGAAGCAUUGUCGUUUAAAGUAGAAAUUUGAAUAUUGAAUGGUAUCCUCAUGGUAGACAGAUUCCAGAGUCUAUAUAUGUAUUCAGGCAUUCUGCAUGCAAUCAUAUGUUCAUGAGUCAAGCAUACAUUCAUAUAUUUAAUCAUUUAUAUUAAAAAAAUUUUAUCCCUUAUUCUGAUGCAGGCAGCAUGCUAAGGAUCUAAGAAUGAAUGCAAGAGCCAAAACUCUUGACUUCACAGAGCUGGCAACCUAGGGGAAAUGCACAUGGUACCAGGGAAGCGUGCACUGGGGAAUCCAUCAGGCCUUUAUCGUGCCAGUCACUCUUCAGCCAGCAAUGUUUGGGCUCUAUGAAAUAUGAAAUGAGAAUAUGAAUAUGAAAGAAGUGAUAUUUUGCAUUUCUUUUUCCUAAGAGUCUUGGUCCUGUUCUUCAAAAGGUAUUUGCAACCAAGACUUUAAGAUGAGACAGAAAUAUGACUCAAAUGAGAGCUAAAACUCAUGCUAUUUCUCAAGGACGAAACUAGAAGCAAUAGGCAAAAUUUGCAGUGGGUUUUGACUGAAUACAACAAUGAAGUAUAAAUAUUGUCCAAGAGUGGAGUGGGCACCCUUACAGAAUUCCAUGUGUUCAGCCCAUGGGACUGUUUGAACAGGGGCUUCCUGACCACCUGGAAGGAUGCUGUGAUUAGGGACCUUUAUCCAAGGGGCUGGAAUCAGAUGCUGUGAGUUUUUGAAGUUUUUUUUUUUUUUUAAAUGAUGAAUGGCAGAACUUCAUUUUUUAAAUUUUUGAAAAUCUUGAUUUUUAAUCUUUAAAACACCACAUUGAGAGGAAAAAUCUGGGAGAGAAUUACUUUUGGUUAUCAUUAAAAAAAUUUUAAACCAACUAAGCCUGAAUUUAAGAGCUAGUGCAAAGCAAACAUACUAAGGGGUCUAACUUACUCCAAAAUGCUUCUGGAAGCAUCACGGAUUUUGAUGACUCUUCUUAGGCAUUCUUAAGUCAUAUUGGAAAUUGGUUUUCUCACAAUUAAAUGUAAUCUACUAUAACCACAGAAGAAAAUUUUGCCUAAAAGGUAUUUGGGAUCCAAGUAACAGACACAAAAGACAAUCAUGGAAAAUGGCUUUGCUUCUGCUGCAGACAUGAUAACUGCUAGGGAGCACUCACCCAUGGAGAUAAGUGAUGAUUCUGAACGUUUUCCAGAGUUUUCAUAUUUUGAGCCAAAUGGCAUCUGAAAGGGAUCCCUUCGUGGUGGGAACAACUGAAACGAUCUUGUUUCUCAAUCUUUUAGUGAAACACAUAUAGCUUUCAAUAGAAAAUAGUUUAAACACCUCAAAUGUAUACUGCUUACUGUUAUUAUACUGUUUAUUACAAUUUCAGUAAUUUUUAAAAUUUUAGUGUUUUAACAUUUCGAUGCCCUUGUGACAGCUUUGAACUUCGGUACAAACCCAUGAGGUGGAUCGUGCAGAUCAUUUUAGAUGAAUAAACCAAAUCUCAACACACUGUAUUCAACUUGUGCAGAUUCAUAUAGUAAAUGGUAGAACUGCCGUCAGAACUGACAUCUCUACAUAUUGCAGACUAACACAUCCACGGUAGAUGUUUGCUAAGUAAACAGUUUCCCACCCUAGCCUUCACUGCUGUUUUACAUCAUGCAGAUUUCCAUAAUUUAGAAGGUGCCUCCUUGAAAAGAUAAUGACUUAGCAUCCCACAAUAAGAGUUGGGUAGAACUGAGGGAAAAUAUGAAGUUAAAAAUCAGAGUUUUUGCUAUCAGAAGCUUAUCAGGUUGGGCAAAGUUCAAGGGGAAAAAGGUCAAAUGUUUUGGUGCUGGGGGGCAUUUCACGAGAAGCUAAUACUGAGGAUGACUUCCUGGUUUCUCUAUGAGUCUCAACAUUUAAAAAUGUUAGUAUUGUCCUCUCUCCUUGGAAGUCUCUAUUGGAACGAUAUUUUGGAAUUCUGUACCAAAAAGUGUUGAAAAUGGGCUUGCCAUUCAAGACCUCUUUGCUCUAAGCAGGUGGGCAUGCAAAGCUAUGUCUGUCCUACUGUCACGUACACAGAGGUCUGAUACACCUGUGGGAAGUUCUGUUGACCUUGAUAUGGGAAGAAUAAACAGACCAGAGAGAUUCUUCAAUUCCUGCUUUCAUCUUUUAUAAGGCACCUCGGCGGACAGAUCAGUGACUAUGUAGAAGAAGGAUGUUUGAUCUUGAAAGAGGACAAAGUUAGAUCAGGAACAGAAAUGUUUGGAGGAGACGGGUGAAGUAGAAUGGUGAGAUUUAGGUUCUCUAGGGCAGACAAUUUGCAGAAGAAAGCAAAGACAGAAGAGUUCAGAACAGAAAUGAAAAGGAGGUGGCUUUAUUACUUCUAGAAGGAUUUCUUUUUUUCCUAAACAUUACAUCCAGAAAAAUGGAUGGGGUUUUCUGAAAAACAAAGUGACUUACUGUAGCUAGGGUUUUUUCUAGUAUUUCAGUGAAAAUUAAACAACCAAAUGAGGGAACAGGAAAAAGCCCUUCCUUAACUGUGAGGAUGCUUAGACUAAAAGACUUCUGUGAUAUUUUCUAGUUUUGGAUUUCUGUGAUUUUUGGAUUCAAGCAGAACUCAUUUAGAACCCUAAGCCUCUCUAGGUUCCUGCCAUGUAGAUGGCAAUUAAAGCUUUUUUGUAAAAACACUGGUCAUUGCAAAUAUAUCCCAGAUCAUUGAGAAGCAGGUAUUUCAUGACCCUAAAACAAUUUGCUUUGCUUACAUACACACCUGCACGUUUGCACGUGCGUGCACACUCACACACACACACACAUACACACACAUAACUCUCUUUGUCUGUUGCUAGCCAAUUUCCAAAUCUCUUGAGUAAGAUAUGUUUCUACUAAGGCAGAACAGUCACAGGUUCAAUAAUUAAAGAGAAAAAAAAAGGAUCUAGUGCUCAUUUUCCUACUUUCUACCCAUUUGUUGUUUGGGGUAUGUGGUUGUGGCUGGGGCUUGGAGAAGGGGCAGAAGAUCUCUAUUUUCUGGUAAAGAGGCAUAGAGACAGUUUUUAUAACUUAUUGCCAUUAAGUAGGACUUAAUCUUAUAUCACUAGACUAGUGUUGCUAUAAUGUUUGUGGACUAUAGUUUUUUUAAGCCCAUUUUUUAAAUCUUUUUUAAAGAUUUAUUUAUUUUUAGAGCAUGCGUGCAUGAGUUGGGGGA